RNAcentral lists this ribosomal RNA (513 nucleotides) under Arsipoda shirleyae. RNAcentral describes it as "partial 12S ribosomal RNA". Lineage: Eukaryota; Metazoa; Arthropoda; Insecta; Coleoptera; Chrysomelidae. The record is from RNAcentral.
ACAUAUUUUAGAGCUAGAAAUCAUUUCUAUAAAAUAAUAAAAAUUACUAUCAAAUCCAAAUUCAACUUACUAUAAAAAUAAGUAUCCUAAAAUAAAUUAAAUGUAACCCAUUUUUUCUUUAUUAUAAACUACACCUUGAUCUGAAUUAUUUUUUUAACAAAAUCUUAAAUAUUAACUUUCUAUAAAAAUAUUUAUAUAACAACGAUAUGUAAACUAAUAAAAAAAGUAAAUUUAAUCGUGGAUUAUCAUUUAUAAAACAGGUUCCUCUGAAAAGAUAAAAUACCGCCAGAAUUUUUAAUUUUAAAGAUUAUAUCUAAUACUAAUUUAAUGUUUUUAUUUACCUUUUUAAUAAUAGGGUAUCUAAUCCUAGUUUAUAAAUAAAUUUUCCCAACUUCAUUAACUAAUACAAAAUUAUUAAAAAAUUAAAAUUUCACCUUAUAAUUUCUUAGCAUAAUUUUAUUCUUAAAUAAAUUGAUAUUAAUAAAAUUAAAUUAUAUUAUUUGGAUAACCGCA